This 390-nucleotide unclassified non-coding RNA is filed under the name soil metagenome. RNAcentral describes it as "partial contains 5.8S ribosomal RNA, internal transcribed spacer 2, and large subunit ribosomal RNA". The stretch from base 1 to 122 matches the Rfam family "5.8S ribosomal RNA", at positions 35 to 154 of the family's 154-position model. The record is from RNAcentral.
GAUGAAGAACGUAGCGAAAUGCGAUACUUGGUGUGAAUUGCAGAAUCCCGCGAAUCAUCGAGUUUUUGAACGCAAGUUGCGCCCGAAGCCAUUCGGCCGAGGGCACGUCUGCCUGGGUGUCACGCAUCGUUGCCCCCCCAAACUCCGGUUCGGGCGGGGCGGAAGUUGGCCUCCCGUGCGUGCCUGCGCGCGCGGUUAGCCCAAAAGCGAGUCCUCGGCGACGAGCGCCACGACAAUCGGUGGUUUUUUUACCCUCGUUCCUCGUCGUGCGUGUCCCGUCGCCCGAACGCGCUCUUGUGACCCUCACGCGUCGCCUCGGCGGCGCUCCCAACGCGACCCCAGGUCAGGCGGGACUACCCGCUGAGUUUAAGCAUAUCAAUAAGCGGACGA